UAAGGGAUAUUGGACAAUGGGGGAAACCCUGAUCCAGCCAUGCCGCGUGGGUGAAGAAGGCCUUCGGGUUGUAAAGCCCUUUCAGUGGUGAAGAUGAUGACGGUAACCACAGAAGAAGCUCCGGCUAACUUCGUGCCAGCAGCCGCGGUAAUACGAAGGGGGCGAGCGUUGUUCGGAAUCACUGGGCUUAAAGCGUACGUAGGCGGCCACACAAGUCAGGAGUGAAAUCCCAGGGCUCAACCCUGGAAUUGCUUUUGAAACUAGGUGGCUCGUGUCCCGGAGAGGUUGGCGGAAUUCCGAGUGUAGAGGUGAAAUUCGCAGAUAUUCGGAGGAACACCAGUGGCGAAGGCGGCCAACUGGACGGGUACAGACGCUGAGGUACGAAAGCGUGGGGAUCAAACAGG
RNAcentral lists this ribosomal RNA (404 nucleotides) under uncultured bacterium. RNAcentral describes it as "bacterial SSU rRNA". It matches the Rfam family "Bacterial small subunit ribosomal RNA", at positions 355 to 776 of the family's 1533-position model. The record is from RNAcentral.